RNAcentral lists this ribosomal RNA (253 nucleotides) under uncultured bacterium. Its description in RNAcentral is "partial 16S ribosomal RNA". It matches the Rfam family "Bacterial small subunit ribosomal RNA", at positions 524 to 776 of the family's 1533-position model. The record is from RNAcentral.
UACAGAGGUCCCAAGCGUUGUUCGGAUUUACUGGGCGUAAAGGGUGCGUAGGCGGUUGGGUGAGUCUGACGUGAAAUCUCCGGGCCUAACCCGGAAACUGCGUUGGAUACUAUUUGACUAGAGGAAUGGAGGGGAGACUGGAAUACUUGGUGUAGCAGUUUAAUGCGUAGAUAUCAAGUGGAACACCAGUGGCGAAGGCGAGUCUCUGGACAUUUCCUGACGCUGAGGCACGAAAGCCAGGGGAGCACACGGG